GCAGCGGUGGUUCAGCAGUAGAAUUUCCCCCCUUCCAUGCAGGAGACCUAGGUUCGAUUCCUGGCCAGUGCA
Molecule: transfer RNA, 72 nt
Filed under: Loxodonta africana (African savanna elephant)
Lineage: Eukaryota; Metazoa; Chordata; Mammalia; Proboscidea; Elephantidae
Rfam family: tRNA
About the family: Transfer RNA (tRNA) molecules are approximately 80 nucleotides in length.
Source: Rfam by way of RNAcentral